Long non-coding RNA from Gallus gallus (chicken), 579 nucleotides. RefSeq lists it as uncharacterized. The record is from RefSeq and is a predicted model, not a curated record. NCBI's taxonomy places the organism in Eukaryota, Metazoa, Chordata, Aves, Galliformes, Phasianidae. The transcript is spliced from 4 exons.
GUAACAGAAUACUGUCAGGAAGGUUCAAUCUCUACUGCCAUAUCACCAACAACCGUCUCUGGCACUGUGGGUCAACAUAACAAAAUAGGAGGCACUGUUUGCAGAGCAGCCCUUGUACAUCUAAUACCCUUUCCAGCACUUCUGAAUUUUAAUAAGACCUCCAGUUAUUAAGAAGUAAAUAGUAGCACGUUUUACCACACAUAUCAUUCAAUCACACUCUGUGAAUGCAUUUUACUUGGAACACGACCUUUGAGAAAUUCUCUCGAAGCCACAGAUCGCCAGCCCCCCUUCAAGUGGCACCGCAGCCUAGAACCUUACAGCUCAGGCAGGGAAAUCAACAGGACCAGCCCAGAGAAGUUCAGCUAUAGCUGAGCUUCUGUAAUUGCAAAGACAAGAACUGAGGAUGACAUACAGGGCAGAAGAAAAUGUUAGUGCUACACUGACUUCAGAAGAAAACUGCAAGUUUAAAUUACACCCACGUAGAGGCUGAGGACUUGCAGCUCCGGGCCAAGCAAUGCCUAUGACUCCAUUUCAGAUAGUAGCAGACAAAUUUUGGAAUGAUUAUUUGUUUUAAACUUG